Molecule: ribosomal RNA, 538 nt
Filed under: Rhinella granulosa (granular toad)
Lineage: Eukaryota; Metazoa; Chordata; Amphibia; Anura; Bufonidae
Description: partial large subunit ribosomal RNA
Rfam family: Bacterial large subunit ribosomal RNA
Source: RNAcentral
ACGGCCGCGGUAUCCUAACCGUGCGAAGGUAGCGUAAUCACUUGUUCUUUAAAUGUGGACUAGUAUGAACGGCUUCACGAAGGUUAUACUGUCUCCUUUUUCUAAUCAGUGAAACUAAUCUCCCCGUGAAGAAGCGGGGAUAAAGCUAUAAGACGAGAAGACCCUAUGGAGCUUAAAACGACACAGCACUUACCAAAAAUUUUUAAUGUUUCUGUAACACUAAUUCUUUAAAGUAAAAUGACUGCAAGUUUUCGGUUGGGGUGACCACGGAGUAUAUCAUAACCUCCAUGUUGAAAGAAUUUCUUUCUAAGCCAAGAAUAACCAAUCUAAGCAUUAACAAAUUAACAUCUAUUGACCCAAUAAAUUUGAUCAACGAACCAAGUUACCCUAGGGAUAACAGCGCAAUCCACUUCAAGAGCUCCUAUCGACAAGUGGGUUUACGACCUCGAUGUUGGAUCAGGGUAUCCCAGUGGUGCAGCCGCUACUAAAGGUUCGUUUGUUCAACGAUUAAAACCCUACGUGAUCUGAGUUCAGACCG